Molecule: long non-coding RNA, 372 nt
Organism: Bactrocera neohumeralis
Lineage: Eukaryota; Metazoa; Arthropoda; Insecta; Diptera; Tephritidae
Exons: 3
Source: RefSeq, a predicted model, not a curated record
UUGACAUUUUAACCACUAUUUCCAAACAGCUUGACGAUUUGACGACGAGGGUAUGCGAUUUGGAAACUAAAAUCGAUAAGCAUUUAAAAGAAAAUAUUAUUCAUAAAAGUGAAGAAAUGGCGCAGCAAAAAACGGUUCGUGAAUGCAAGGUCCUCAUCCGCAAAAUUCAUCAAUCGGUAUGCCGAAUGACUGGUAAAGAUGUCGACAAGGUUCAAACCGAAAUUGCUUCCACCCUUUGGAAAUGGACGAAAAAUUGAAAGGCGACGAAUUUGCUGCUACAACGAAACAAUUCGUUUUGAGGAUAAAAGGUACUUCAGAUAGUGUACAUAAUGUGUUGUUAAGUCUGUACACUGAUGAACUUCUUUAUUUAUG